This 45-nucleotide non-coding RNA is filed under the name Schistosoma mansoni. Lineage: Eukaryota; Metazoa; Platyhelminthes; Trematoda; Strigeidida; Schistosomatidae. The record is from RNAcentral.
AUCCAUCUGAUGAGUCUUGAACACGACGAAACAUGAGUCAUGGAU